This 460-nucleotide ribosomal RNA is filed under the name uncultured bacterium. RNAcentral's name for it is "partial 16S ribosomal RNA". It matches the Rfam family "Bacterial small subunit ribosomal RNA", at positions 338 to 795 of the family's 1533-position model. The record is from RNAcentral.
CCUACGGGUGGCAGCAGUGAGGAAUAUUGGUCAAUGGACGAGAGUCUGAACCAGCCAAGUAGCGUGAAGGAUGACUGCCCUAUGGGUUGUAAACUUCUUUUAUAUGGGAGUAAAAUGUUCCACGUGUGGGAUUUUGUAUGUACCAUAUGAAUAAGGAUCGGCUAACUCCGUGCCAGCAGCCGCGGUAAUACGGAGGAUCCGAGCGUUAUCCGGAUUUAUUGGGUUUAAAGGGAGCGUAGGUGGAUUGUUAAGUUAGUUGUGAAAGUUUGCGGGUCAACCGUAAAAUUGCAGUUGAAACUGGCAGUCUUGAGUACAGUCGAGGUGGGCGGAAUUCGUGGUGUAGCGGUGAAAUGCUUAGAUAUCACGAAGAACACCGAUUGCGAAGGCAGUUCACUGGACUGCAACUGACACUGAGGCUCGAAAGUGUGGGUAUCAAACAGGAUUAGAUACCCUUGUAGUC